AACGAACGCUGGCGGCAUGCCUAACACAUGCAAGUCGAACGAGACCUUCGGGUCUAGUGGCGCACGGGUGCGUAACGCGUGGGAACCUGCCCUUAGGUUCGGAAUAACUCCCCGAAAGGGGUGCUAAUACCGGAUAAUGUCUUCGGACCAAAGAUUUAUCGCCUUUGGAUGGGCCCGCGUUGGAUUAGCUAGUUGGUAGGGUAAAAGCCUACCAAGGCGACGAUCCAUAGCUGGUCUGAGAGGAUGAUCAGCCACACUGGGACUGAGAAACGGCCCAGACUGAGGGGGGAGGCAGCAAGGGGGAAUAGUCGACAAAGGGCGAAGGCCGGAGCAUGACAGGCGGCGUGGGGGAAGAAGGUCUUCGGAGUGGAAAGCACAUUAAGAUGGGAGGAAGGGCAGUAAGUUAAUACCUUGCUGUCUUGACGUGACGAACAGAAGAAGAACGGGAGAACUUCGUG
This 458-nucleotide ribosomal RNA is filed under the name uncultured bacterium. RNAcentral's name for it is "partial 16S ribosomal RNA". It matches the Rfam family "Bacterial small subunit ribosomal RNA", at positions 29 to 507 of the family's 1533-position model. The record is from RNAcentral.